CCUACGGGCGGCAGCAGUGAGGAAUAUUGGUCAAUGGGCGCGAGCCUGAACCAGCCAAGUCGCGUGAAGGAUGACUGCCCUACGGGUUGUAAACUUCUUUUAUAAAGGAAUAAAGUGAGGCACGUGUGCCUUUUUGUAUGUACUUUAUGAAUAAGGAUCGGCUAACUCCGUGCCAGCAGCCGCGGUAAUACGGAGGAUUCGAGCGUUAUCCGGAUUUAUUGGGUUUAAAGGGAGCGUAGGUGGGUUGUUAAGUCAGUUGUGAAAGUUUGGGGCUCAACCGUAAAAUUGCCAUUGAUACUGGAAGUCUUGAGUACAGUUGAGGUAGGCGGAAGGCGUGGUGUAGCGGUGAAAUGCUUAGAUAUCACGCAGAACUCCGAUUGCGAAGGCAGCUUACUAAACUGCCACUGACACUGAUGCACGAAAGUGUGGGUAUCAAACAGGAUUAGAUACCCGAGUAGUC
Molecule: ribosomal RNA, 460 nt
Filed under: uncultured bacterium
Lineage: Bacteria
Description: partial 16S ribosomal RNA
Rfam family: Bacterial small subunit ribosomal RNA
Source: RNAcentral